UACAGAGGUGGCAAGCGUUGUUCGGAAUUACUGGGCGUAAAGGGCGCGUAGGCGGCCCACUAAGUCAGACGUGAAAUCCCCCGGCUUAACCUGGGAACUGCGUCUGAUACUGGAGGGCUUGAGUAUGGGAGAGGGAUGUAGAAUUCCAGGUGUAGCGGUGAAAUGCGUAGAUAUCUGGAGGAAUACCGGUGGCGAAGGCGGAUCUCUGGACAGUUCCUGACACUGAGGCACGAAGGCUAGGGGAGCAAACGGG
This 253-nucleotide ribosomal RNA is filed under the name uncultured bacterium. Its description in RNAcentral is "partial 16S ribosomal RNA". It matches the Rfam family "Bacterial small subunit ribosomal RNA", at positions 524 to 776 of the family's 1533-position model. The record is from RNAcentral.